This 104-nucleotide small RNA is filed under the name Paenibacillus sp. RNAcentral's name for it is "Guanidine-I sequence". It matches the Rfam family "Guanidine-I riboswitch aptamer". From Rfam's summary of the family: This family represents a conserved RNA structure found upstream of the ykkC and yxkD genes in Bacillus subtilis and related genes in other bacteria. The function of this family is unclear although it has been suggested that it may function to switch on efflux pumps and detoxification systems in response to harmful environmental molecules. The record is from RNAcentral. Lineage: Bacteria; Bacillati; Bacillota; Bacilli; Caryophanales; Paenibacillaceae. RNAcentral also lists the same sequence under 1 other name.
UUUACAGUUUACUAGGGUUCCGCCAAUUUGGGUCAGGUCCGAGAGUAAACCGCUGCCGCUACCUUAAUGCGUCAGUGACACGGAGGGAUAAAAACCCGGGAGAU